Molecule: ribosomal RNA, 254 nt
Filed under: Staphylococcus aureus
Lineage: Bacteria; Bacillati; Bacillota; Bacilli; Caryophanales; Staphylococcaceae
Description: partial 23S ribosomal RNA
Rfam family: Bacterial large subunit ribosomal RNA
Source: RNAcentral
GCUGUCCUUAGUACGAGAGGACCGGGAUGGACAUACCUCUGGUGUACCAGUUGUCGUGCCAACGGCAUAGCUGGGUAGCUAUGUGUGGACGGGAUAAGUGCUGAAAGCAUCUAAGCAUGAAGCCCCCCUCAAGAUGAGAUUUCCCAACUUCGGUUAUAAGAUCCCUCAAAGAUGAUGAGGUUAAUAGGUUCGAGGUGGAAGCAUGGUGACAUGUGGAGCUGACGAAUACUAAUCGAUCGAAGACUUAAUCAAAA